GCUUACUUGUGAGUUUAAUAUUUAAUAUCUUUAAAGUUGACUUGAUGAAAUAAGAGAGAUGGACUUUGAGUAGGGUUAGAGAUAUUGAAAUAUAGUGAGUUUGAAUUAAUAAAAACGUAAAUGACAUUCAGUUCAAUUUGUAGUGCAUUAAGGACCGGUUCAUAAUCUAUUUUCUGAACUCUAGUGAUCAGAAUACAUUUUCCGAGCUAAAAUUUGGUUCAAAAUCUAUUUUUCAAACCAUACUUAAAGGACAAAAAAGGAAAUUUAGAGGGUUAAAGAGUAAAAUUUAAAAGAUAAAUUCUCUACCCACCCCUCAUUUUCUUUUUUACCUCUUGGCUUUCCGUUUUUGCCCUUGUAUAAAAAAUUCGAUUUCUAUUU
This 378-nucleotide long non-coding RNA is filed under the name Trifolium pratense (red clover). RNAcentral's name for it is "long non-coding RNA (TPRA_LNC007485)". Lineage: Eukaryota; Viridiplantae; Streptophyta; Magnoliopsida; Fabales; Fabaceae. The record is from RNAcentral.